UACGUAGGUCCCGAGCGCUGUCCGGAUUUAUUGGGCGUAAAGCGAGCGCAGGUGGUUUAUUAAGUCUGGUGUAAAAGGCAGUGGCUCAACCAUUGUAUGCAUUGGAAACUGGUAGACUUGAGUGCAGGAGAGGAGAGUGGAAUUCCAUGUGUAGCGGUGAAAUGCGUAGAUAUAUGGAGGAACACCGGUGGCGAAAGCGGCUCUCUGGCCUGUAACUGACACUGAGGCUCGAAAGCGUGGGGAGCACACAGG
RNAcentral lists this ribosomal RNA (252 nucleotides) under uncultured bacterium. RNAcentral describes it as "partial 16S ribosomal RNA". It matches the Rfam family "Bacterial small subunit ribosomal RNA", at positions 524 to 776 of the family's 1533-position model. The record is from RNAcentral.